RNAcentral lists this ribosomal RNA (440 nucleotides) under uncultured bacterium. RNAcentral's name for it is "partial 16S ribosomal RNA". It matches the Rfam family "Bacterial small subunit ribosomal RNA", at positions 338 to 795 of the family's 1533-position model. The record is from RNAcentral.
CCUACGGGAGGCAGCAGUAGGGAAUAUUGCUCAAUGGGGGAAACCCUGAAGCAGCAACGCCGCGUGAAGGAUGAAGGUUUUCGGAUUGUAAACUCCUUUUGUUAGGGAAGAUAAUCAGGGUAUCUAACGAAUAAGCACCGGCUAACUCCGUGCCAGCAGCCGCGGUAAUACGGAGGGUGCAAGCGUGACUCGGAAGCAUUGGGCGUAAAGAGGGCGUAGGCGGGAUAGCAAGUCAGAGGUGAAAUCCUACGGCUUAACCAUGGAACUGCAUUUGAAACUGUUAUUAUAGAGUAUGGGAGAGGUAGGUGGAAUUCUUGGUGUAGGGGUAAAAUCCGUAGAGAUCAAGAGGAAUACUCAUUGCGAAGGCGGCCUGCUAGAACAUAACUGACGCUGAGGCGCGAAAGCGUGGGGAGCAAACAGGAUUAGAUACCCCUGUAGUC